This 465-nucleotide ribosomal RNA is filed under the name Vreelandella stevensii. RNAcentral's name for it is "partial 16S ribosomal RNA". It matches the Rfam family "Bacterial small subunit ribosomal RNA", at positions 338 to 795 of the family's 1533-position model. Lineage: Bacteria; Pseudomonadati; Pseudomonadota; Gammaproteobacteria; Oceanospirillales; Halomonadaceae. The record is from RNAcentral.
CCUACGGGUGGCAGCAGUGGGGAAUAUUGGACAAUGGGGGGAACCCUGAUCCAGCCAUACCGCGUGUGUGAAGAAGGCCCUCGGGUUGUAAAGCACUUUCAGUGAGGAAGAACGCCUGGUGGUUUAUACCCAUCAGGAAAGACAUCACUCACAGAAGAAGCACCGGCUAACUCCGUGCCAGCAGCCGCGGUAAUACGGAGGGUGCGAGCGUUAAUCGGAAUUACUGGGCGUAAAGCGCGCGUAGGUGGCUUGAUAAGCCGGUUGUGAAAGCCCCGGGCUCAACCUGGGAACGGCAUCCGGAACUGUCAAGCUAGAGUGCAGGAGAGGAAGGUAGAAUUCCCGGUGUAGCGGUGAAAUGCGUAGAGAUCGGGAGGAAUACCAGUGGCGAAGGCGGCCUUCUGGACUGACACUGACACUGAGGUGCGAAAGCGUGGGUAGCAAACAGGAUUAGAUACCCGAGUAGUC